AAGUCGUAACAAGGUCUCCGUAGGUGAACCUGCGGAGGGAUCAUUACACAAAUAUGAAGGCGGGCUGGAACCUCUCGGGGUUACAGCCUUGCUGAAUUAUUCACCCUUGUCUUUUGCGUACUUCUUGUUUCCUUGGUGGGUUCGCCCACCACUAGGACAAACAUAAACCUUUUGUAAUUGCAAUCAGCGUCAGUAACAAAUUAAUAAUUACAACUUUCAACAACGGAUCUCUUGGUUCUGGCAUCGAUGAAGAACGCAGCGAAAUGCGAUAAGUAGUGUGAAUUGCAGAAUUCAGUGAAUCAUCGAAUCUUUGAACGCACAUUGCGCCCUUUGGUAUUCCAAAGGGCAUGCCUGUUCGAGCGUCAUUUGUACCCUCAAGCUUUGCUUGGUGUUGGGCGUCUUGUCUCUAGCUUUGCUGGAGACUCGCCUUAAAGUAAUUGGCAGCCGGCCUACUGGUUUCGGAGCGCAGCAUAAGUCGCACUCUCUAUCAGCAAAGGUCUAGCAUCCAUUAAGCCUUUUUUUCAACUUUUGACCUCGGAUCAGGUAGGGAUACCCGCUGAACUUAAGCA
Molecule: ribosomal RNA, 569 nt
Filed under: uncultured fungus
Lineage: Eukaryota; Fungi
Description: eukaryotic LSU rRNA
Rfam family: 5.8S ribosomal RNA (bases 212-365)
Source: RNAcentral